RNAcentral lists this non-coding RNA (46 nucleotides) under Schistosoma mattheei. Lineage: Eukaryota; Metazoa; Platyhelminthes; Trematoda; Strigeidida; Schistosomatidae. The record is from RNAcentral.
GCAUUGCUGAUGAGUCCCACAUUAGGACGAAACCGUCGUCCAGUGC